This 372-nucleotide ribosomal RNA is filed under the name uncultured Glomeromycotina. Its description in RNAcentral is "LSU rRNA". The record is from RNAcentral. Lineage: Eukaryota; Fungi; Glomeromycota.
UUGAAAGGGAAACGAUUGAAGUCAGUCGUACCUUCGGGUAAUCAGCCUUUCGGGUGNNNNUCUGUGGAGCGUGGGGAGUUAAACGCCUUCAUGCCUGCAUAUUCGUGCACUUUGGGUGUACUUGCCCGUGUGGUAGGUUAACAUCAAUUUCGGAUAUCAUAAAAUGGCUGGAGGAAUGUAGCUUCGGUCUCGUACUGAAGUGUUAUAGCCUUUGGUAGAUGUGAUGACCGGGAUUGAGGAUUGCAACGAAUACCUUUUGGGCUAUCCGUCUGAUCUCUGAAAGUUGCUCUGGUGCCGAAAGCUUGCUUACGGUUAUCAAAGUUGACGUUCAAAAGGUUAGAACGGGUUAAAUUCGUUAAGGAUGUUGACGUA